RNAcentral lists this non-coding RNA (21 nucleotides) under Arabidopsis thaliana (thale cress). Lineage: Eukaryota; Viridiplantae; Streptophyta; Magnoliopsida; Brassicales; Brassicaceae. The record is from RNAcentral.
CAAGCCAUCAUUACAUUUCUC